UAGGGAAUCUUCCGCAAUGGACGAAAGUCUGACGGAGCAACGCCGCGUGAGUGAAGAAGGAUUUCGGUUCGUAAAACUCUGUUGUUAGGGAAGAAAAAAUGUAUAGUAACUAUAUACAAAAGAGACGGUACCUAACCAGAAAGCCACGGCUAACUACGUGCCAGCAGCCGCGGUAAUACGUAGGUGGCAAGCGUUGUCCGGAAUUAUUGGGCGUAAAGCGCGCGCAGGUGGUUUAGAAAGUCUGAUGUGAAAGCCCACGGCUCAACCGUGGAGGGUCAUUGGAAACUAGUAAACUUGAGUGCAGGAGAGAAAAGUGGAAUUCCUAGUGUAGCGGUGAAAUGCGUAGAGAUUAGGAGGAACACCGGUGGCGAAAGCGGCUUUUUGGCCUGCAACUGACACUGAGGCGCGAAAGCGUGGGGAGCAAACAGGAUUAGAUACCCUGGUAGUCCACGCCGUAAACGAUGAGUGCUAAGUGUUGGAGUCAAAAGACUUCAGUGCUGCAGCAAACGCAUUAAGCACUCCGCCUGGGGAGUACGAUCGCAAGAUUG
Molecule: ribosomal RNA, 548 nt
Filed under: uncultured bacterium
Lineage: Bacteria
Description: bacterial SSU rRNA
Rfam family: Bacterial small subunit ribosomal RNA
Source: RNAcentral